Molecule: long non-coding RNA, 225 nt
Filed under: Mytilus galloprovincialis (Mediterranean mussel)
Lineage: Eukaryota; Metazoa; Mollusca; Bivalvia; Mytilida; Mytilidae
Source: RNAcentral
UAUUUCUACAUUUUUUUACAAUAUUUUAGAGUAUGAAUGUUGAACAGGCGGUCUAGGGACAUGCCAUUUUGGUUGUUUUGGACCAUUCAGGAAUCAAUAUCUUAUCAAUCCCUCUAAAAAAUAAUCUGCUUCUUUGCUUUAAAAUGUUAUAUCUAAUUCAAUGUACUGACUGCACAAAAAAUUACUUGCAAAGAUCAAACACAUUUUUUUUAAAGUGGCUGGGAC